Molecule: long non-coding RNA, 753 nt
Filed under: Nicotiana benthamiana
Lineage: Eukaryota; Viridiplantae; Streptophyta; Magnoliopsida; Solanales; Solanaceae
Description: long non-coding RNA (NBEN_LNC041420)
Source: RNAcentral
GGGAUUUAGGGAAAAACCAAGACAUGAUGGUGGUCAUCAAUUAGGAGUGCUGGCACACCCCAAUCAGCCCGUUAGGCACAUUGUUUGGGAGUUAGGAUCCUUUAAAGAUCAAAUUCAGACAUGAGCAAAAACUUGGAUGUUGCCAUGUUCUAAAUUAACUCAAACAUAUAGAAGGGAGUAGGGGGUAGGGAUUCACAAUAAGAACAUAUGCAAGAAAAGAAUAUGCAUAGUUAAUAUUAAUCACUAGGCAUGGACAAUAAAGUAAAUAGGAUUGCAGAAGCUGUAAAUAAAUAUAUUGGGAUGAUGGCUAAAACUAAAUUAGAACAUACUAGUUUCAGGGAAACAAGGAAGUAAAAGUAGAAGUCUUGUAAAGCCAAAUUGCAAGCAAACAAUCCAAAAGAUCUCAGCAGAGAGUAAGAUGUUGAAAGAGUAUUGAAAUUGAGAGUGUGAGGUGAGUAAUGUAAACUUGGGGUUAUCUUCAACUGCAGGAGGGUUGUGCCUUUUAUAGUGCAGAAACAAAGUAAGAAAAGGUAAGAAAAUAGCAUUGAAAUCAAUCUCCCUUUAAUUAAGGGAUUCUGAUUACAAACGGAUAAAAGGAAAUUAAGAAAAGAGUUGAUCAAAAUCUUUUCAAAAGCAGUAUAAUAAGGGAAAAUAAACAAGGGUUUAUUAAAGGAGAAAGUGCAGUGGUACACAGUUUGUGAAAAAUAAGGAAAGAGAAUCAAACAAACAGCAGCAAGCUUUGUUCGAAUGAAU